Drosophila innubila is the source of this 426-nucleotide long non-coding RNA. RefSeq lists it as uncharacterized. The record is from RefSeq and is a predicted model, not a curated record. Lineage: Eukaryota; Metazoa; Arthropoda; Insecta; Diptera; Drosophilidae. The transcript has 3 exons.
UUAGUUGAUUACGAGACAUUGAGUGAAAUUCUUAAAUUUAGUUAAUAGGAGUAUGAACUACACUUGGCUAAUCUUGUUGAUGUUGCAACUGUUAGCCUUCUUAAUGCAUAUCUAUGAGGCAGAAUGCAAACACAGUAGAAAUGGAAGAAGCGAUAGAAAAUAUUCCAAUGCGCGAUCAGCGACAAGUUUCCCAAUGCAAGACGAAAAUUAUAAGGACAGGCAUCUUCGAAAACCAUCUGGUGUCUCUCCGAGAGCGUUCCCACUGGCCCCUGUGGCGGCGGUAGCUGCUUCAGUAACUUAUGUUGCCAAAAGAUAUUUGAAAAGAAUUACCAAAGCAGUUGUCAAAAGAAUUGCAAAAAAAAUUCGCGAAAAACUUGAAGCCAAAGCAAAGAAGGAGAGGGAAAAGGAAUGGGAAAGAAAAAGAGA